Molecule: ribosomal RNA, 418 nt
Filed under: uncultured Glomeromycotina
Lineage: Eukaryota; Fungi; Glomeromycota
Description: SSU rRNA
Rfam family: Eukaryotic small subunit ribosomal RNA
Source: RNAcentral
UGCACUGGUAUUAUUGAUUUCUACCUUCUGACGAAUCAUGAUGUCAUUAAUUUGGUGUCAUGGGGAAUCAGGACUGUUACUUUGAAAAAAUUAGAGUGUUUAAAGCAGGCACACGCUUGAAUACAUUAGCAUGGAAUAAUGAAAUAGGACGUUUGACCCUAUUUUGUUGGUUUCUAGGAUCGACGUAAUGAUUAAUAGGGAUAGUUGGGGGCAUUAGUAUUCAAUUGUCAGAGGUGAAAUUCUUGGAUUUAUUGAAGACUAACUACUGCGAAAGCAUUUGCCAAGGAUGUUUUCAUUAAUCAAGAACGAAAGUUAGGGGAUCGAAGACGAUCAGAUACCGUCGUAGUCUUAACCAUAAACUAUGCCGACUAGGGAUCGGAUGAUGUUAAUUUUUUAAUGACUCAUUCGGCGCCUUACG